RNAcentral lists this ribosomal RNA (497 nucleotides) under uncultured bacterium. RNAcentral describes it as "partial 16S ribosomal RNA". It matches the Rfam family "Bacterial small subunit ribosomal RNA", at positions 28 to 507 of the family's 1533-position model. The record is from RNAcentral.
GACGAACGCUGGCGGCGUGCCUAAUACAUGCAAGUUGAGCGCUGAAGGUUGGUACUUGUACCAACUGGAUGAGCAGCGAACGGGUGAGUAACGCGUGGGGAAUCUGCCUUUGAGCGGGGGACAACAUUUGGAAACGAAUGCUAAUACCGCAUAAAAACUUUAAACACAAGUUUUAAGUUUGAAAGAUGCAAUUGCAUCACUCAAAGAUGAUCCCGCGUUGUAUUAGCUAGUUGGUGAGGUAAAGGCUCACCAAGGCGAUGAUACAUAGCCGACCUGAGAGGGUGAACGGCCACAUUGGGACUGAGACACGGCCCAAACUCCUACGGGAGGCAGCAGUAGGGAAUCUUCGGCAAUGGACGAAAGUCUGACCGAGCAACGCCGCGUGAGGGAAGAAGGUUUUCGGAUCGUAAAACUCUGUUGGUAGAGAAGAACGUUGGUGAGAGUGGAAAGCUCAUCAAGUGACGGUAACUACCCAGAAAGGGACGGCUAACUACGUG